UACGUAGGGUGCAAGCGUUAAUCGGAAUUACUGGGCGUAAAGCGUGCGCAGGCGGUUAUAUAAGACAGAUGUGAAACCCCCGGGCUCAACCUGGGAACUGCAUUUGUGACUGUAUAGCUAGAGUACGGUAGAGGGGGAUGGAAUUCCGCGUGUAGCAGUGAAAUGCGUAGAUAUGCGGAGGAACACCGAUGGCGAAGGCAAUCCCCUGGACCUGUACUGACGCUCAUGCACGAAAGCGUGGGGAGCAAACAGG
RNAcentral lists this ribosomal RNA (253 nucleotides) under uncultured bacterium. RNAcentral describes it as "partial 16S ribosomal RNA". It matches the Rfam family "Bacterial small subunit ribosomal RNA", at positions 524 to 776 of the family's 1533-position model. The record is from RNAcentral.